UACGGAGGGUGCAAGCGUUGCUCGGAAUUAUUGGGCGUAAAGCGCGUGUAGGCGGCUAUUUAAGUCUAGUGUGAAAUCCCGGGGCUUAACCCCGGAACUGCGCCGGAUACUGGAUAGCUGGAGGGCGAGAGAGGAUGGUGGAAUUCCUGGUGUAGGGGUGAAAUCCGUAGAUAUCAGGAGGAACAUCAGUGGCGAAGGCGGCCAUCUGGCUCGCACCUGACGCUGAGACGCGAAAGCGUGGGGAGCAAACAGG
This 253-nucleotide ribosomal RNA is filed under the name uncultured bacterium. RNAcentral describes it as "partial 16S ribosomal RNA". It matches the Rfam family "Bacterial small subunit ribosomal RNA", at positions 524 to 776 of the family's 1533-position model. The record is from RNAcentral.